CGUCAAGUCCUCAUGGCCCUUAUGUCCAGGGCUACACACGUGCUACAAUGGGCGGUACAAAGGGAAGCAACCCCGCGAGGGUGAGCCAAUCCCAAAAAGCCGCUCUCAGUUCGGAUUGCAGUCUGCAACUCGACUGCAUGAAGGUGGAAUCGCUAGUAAUCGCGGAUCAGCACGCCGCGGUGAAUACGUUCUCGGGCCUU
RNAcentral lists this ribosomal RNA (200 nucleotides) under uncultured organism. Its description in RNAcentral is "partial small subunit ribosomal RNA". It matches the Rfam family "Bacterial small subunit ribosomal RNA", at positions 1183 to 1382 of the family's 1533-position model. The record is from RNAcentral.